Molecule: ribosomal RNA, 228 nt
Filed under: uncultured bacterium
Lineage: Bacteria
Description: partial 16S ribosomal RNA
Rfam family: Bacterial small subunit ribosomal RNA
Source: RNAcentral
UAACGCGUAGGUAACCUGCCUGGUAGCGGGGGGUAACUAUUGGAAACGAUAGCCAAUACCGCAUAAGAACAUUUACUGCAUGGUAGAUGUUUAAAAGGUGCAAAAGCAUCACUACCAGAUGGACCUGCGUUGUAUUAGCUAGUUGGUGAGGUAACGGCUCACCAAGGCAACGAUACAUAGCCGACCUGAGAGGGUGAUCGGCCACACUGGGACUGAGACACGGCCCAG